AACGAACGCUGGCGGCAGGCCUAACACAUGCAAGUCGAACGCCGUAGCAAUACGGAGUGGCAGACGGGUGAGUAACACGUGGGAACGUACCCUUCGGUUCGGAAUAACUCAGGGAAACUUGAGCUAAAACCGGAUACGUCCGAGAGGAGAAAGAUUUAUCGCCGAGGGAUCGGCCCGCGUCUGAUUAGCUUGUUGGUGAGGUAACGGCUCACCAAGGCGACGAUCAGUAGCUGGUCNGAGAGGAUGAUCAGCCACAUUGGGACUGAGACACGGCCCAAACUCCUACGGGAGGCAGCAGUGGGGAAUAUUGGACAAUGGGCGCAAGCCUGAUCCAGCCAUGCCGCGUGAGUGAUGAAGGCCCUAGGGUUGUAAAGCUCUUUUACCCGGGAAGAUAAUGACUGUACCGGGAGAAUAAGCCCCGGCUAACUUCGUGCCAGCAGCCGCAGU
This 447-nucleotide ribosomal RNA is filed under the name uncultured bacterium. RNAcentral describes it as "bacterial SSU rRNA". It matches the Rfam family "Bacterial small subunit ribosomal RNA", at positions 29 to 521 of the family's 1533-position model. The record is from RNAcentral.